UACGUAACCCCUAAGUGGUAUCCCCUUAUAUUGGGCCUAAAGCGUCCGUAGCCUGUUCGACAAGUCUCUGGUGAAAUCAGUUAGCUUAACUAAUUGAAGUGCUAGAGAUACUGUUGAACUCGAGGCCGGUAGACGUGAAGGGAAUUUCUGGGGUAGCGGUGAAAUGCUAUGAUCCUAGAAAGACCGCCAGUAGCGAAGGCGCUUCACGAGCACGGCCCUGACGGUGAGGGACGAAAGCUGAGGGAGCGACCCGGAUUAGAUAUGGGCGUAAGAGAAAAUUAAAUUUAAUUAAUUUCUUUUUGCUCACUAAAAACCCGGUUAGUCUCAGCCGUAAACGAUGUGGACUAGGUGUCCUAGUACUCAUUGAAGUACAGGGGUGCCGAAGGGAAGCUGUUAAGUCCACCGCCUGGGAAGUAUACUCGCAAGGGUGAAACUUAAUGGAAUUGGCGGGGGCGCACUACAAGGGGUGGAUGCUGCGGUUUAAUUGGAUUCAACGCCAGACAACUCACCAGGGGCGACAGUAGCAUGAUGGUCAGUCCAGAGGGCUUACCUGACACGCUGAGAGGUGUUGUAUGGUCAUCGUCAGCUCGUACUAUGAAGCGUCCUGUCAACUCAGGCAACGGGCGAGACCCACAUCCUUAGUUGCUAUCUAUCGGUUUCGGUGGAGCACUCUAAGGAGACUGCAAGGGCAACCUUGGGGAAGGAGUGGGCGACGGUAGAUCUGUAUGGCCCGAAUCUCCUGGGCUACACGCGGCAUACAAUGGAUGGGGCAAUGAGCCCCGAACCCGAAAGGGCAAGGUAAUCCCCUAAACCCAUCCCUAGUUCGGAUCGAAGUUUGUAACUCAACUUCGUGAAGUUGGAAUCCCCAGUAAUCGGGUGUCACUAACACCCGGUGAAUAAGUCCCUGCGCC
RNAcentral lists this ribosomal RNA (911 nucleotides) under uncultured archaeon. Its description in RNAcentral is "bacterial SSU rRNA". It matches the Rfam family "Archaeal small subunit ribosomal RNA", at positions 474 to 1336 of the family's 1478-position model. The record is from RNAcentral.